CUUCCAGGCGAGCCCCGCGCCUGCCGCACGAUGAGCGACGGCGCCCAGCGAGGCCUGGCCAGCUCGGGGCAGCAGCACAUCGCGGACAUUCUCCACCCGCUGUCCGCCGCCGUCGAGCCGCUGUCCCCCGGGCAAGAUGUCAGCGUCACCGCUGGGGGCGACAAGGAGGCAGGGCUGUCCAAUGGCACGCCAGUGGACACGCCAAGUCCCGCCUCGGCAUCGUCGCUGUUCAACAGGCUGCAGCUGGACGACAUCGAGUCAGAACCCCAGGACCGCUAUGGCUCCACCGAAACGCGUGACCUGUUUGUCACGGUGGAUGACCCAAAGAAGCAUGUCUCAACCAUGGAGACUUACAUCACCUACAGAGUGUCCACCAAGACAACGCGGAUCGAGUUCGACUUGCCGGAAUACUGCGUGCGACGACGCUACCAAGACUUCGAUUGGCUGAGGAUCAAACUGGAGGACAGCCAGCCCACCCAUCUCAUCCCUCCCCUGCCAGAGAAGUUCGUGAUGAAGGGCGUGGUGGAUCGUUUUUCGGAAGAGUUUGUCGAAACGCGCAUGAAGGCGCUGGACAAGUUCUUGAAGCGAGUUGCGGACCACCCAGUCCUCUCUUUUAACACACAUCUCAAUGCUUUUCUGUCAGCUAAGGACCUUAACAAGCGUCAGGGUCUGGCACUGCUCACCAAGGUGGGCGAGUCGGUGAAGCAUGUGGCCGGAGGCUACAAGCUGAGGGGGCGGCCGGCCGAGUUCUGCGCCAUGGGAGAGUACCUGGACACCUUCAGCCAGAAACUGGGCACCAUCGACCGCAUCGCUCAGAGGAUCCUCAAAGAGCAGUCAGAGUACUUAGCUGAGCUGCGUGAGUACAGCACUGUGUACUCCAGUUGGACGGGCUCGGAAGAGGAGCUGCAGCACCCCCUGGAGGGGUUGGCGGGCUCCAUUUCGACGUGUUGCGGGGCGAUGGACGACCAGUGUGAGAACAUGGGCCAGGACUUCCUGCCUGUUCUCAGAGAGUAUAUGCUCUACAUCGAGUCCAUGAAGAAUGUUUUGAAGAAGCGUGACCAGAGUCAGGCGGAGUACGAGGGACGCCUGGAAGCCGCCGUGCUACGCAAACAGGAGGACAGAACGCCUGAUUUAGGACCCUGUAGCAGUAGUCCUUUUGUGUGUCCCGCUAGAUGCCACCCGAGGUGGAGCGGUGCCAGGACAAGGUGGAAUGUUUCAACGCCGACUUAAAGGCCGACUGGGAGCGCUGGCAGAGCAACAAGCGACACGACUUCAAGCAGCUUCUCAGCGGCAUGGCCGACAAAAACAUCAAUUACUAUGAGAAGUGCCAAGCAGCGUGGGAGUCACUCCUAAGUGUCCUGCAGGACAAACAGACUGAGGAUCAAACGAGUGAGACGGACUGAAGCGUCUGGUCACGCUGGCCUGUUGGCUCUCGUCCAUCACACACUUUUUCACGCCAAGAACCAAGCGGGCCUUUGGCCCCCAACUGUAGGACCGUGUCCCCGUUCUCCCGAGUCGACUGUCAUUAUCGGACCUAUCCAGGAGACAGUGAAUGCAGCGUACAGUACGUGUAUGUGACCAGCAGUGACCUAUCUUUUUGUCACCGCUCUUUUUCUACUUCAUAUCGCCCGUUAACAGUUGCCAAUGCUGCUUAUUUAACCACGUGCUAAAGGAGCGUGUUUAAUUUUUUCCUCAUCCUAUUUACAGUUUGAGACAAGGGUACUUUUUUUUUUUUUUUUUUUUCCUCCCCUUGGUCAGAUAUUGUCAGUCGGAUUCCAGUCAGCAACCUGCAGAUAGAGCCACAAACUCAUUCCCCCUCAAUUACCUGUUAAAGAUCUUUUUUCAAAGGUUCUCAAAUGUUUUUGUCCUUCCACUUAUGUCAGAUCACUUUAAAAAUCCAUUUGCAGAAAGCUGAAACUUGCCGCGGUGUCUGCGUUUCACAACACGGCCCUGGAAAUGCUGCGGCAGCUUUGCGUAACGGCCUCAGACGAGCGCAUUAGCUGUUCUGAUUCCUAUUUGAUUCACGUCCUUCAGCCAGACAGACAGUGAGCAGCUAAGGUGUCCCAUUUGAAGGCUGAGCACCAUUGGAUCGAUCUCUCUUUCGAUUAGUUUGCCACGAAAUCACUCUCACUAAUUAGAGGAUGUUUUCUAGCUCGUCACCUCCGCUGUGGCUCAAGGGAAAUAUUUUGAAAAGAGAAACGGUACUGCAACUUUAGCUGGUGGCAUCAUCUUCUUCUCUUUAAAUGUUUCUUAAAUGACCUUGCUUUAAGGAAAAUGUCCACCUAUGUAAUGUUGGAGACCUCACACUUGAUAGAUGGCUUGGAGCAGUAUGAAUAAAAAAACACUCUAUUGGAUCAAAAUAAGGAUUAUAACAGCGUAUUGGAUGACAUCUAGUGGUAAACAAGGGUUUAUCCAUUUUAUCUUGCAAAUCUCUGCUGCCUCUUUCCAGUCAUUUGCUUUUAUUUUGUAGUUAUAUUUUCUUGUUUACAGUGCAAAUGACCUCUCAGUUCAGUUCUAAAUAAUAACUAAAUAAUUUGACAGUGUCAUUCAAAAAUGAGUUAUGUUUUUAAGUCCAGAUUGUUUUGAUACAGCGAUCGUUAGUUACACAAAGUGAUUCAACCACUAUUGUAAAUUACAUUUAUUUGCUUUCAAUAGAAGGGCACUUUCAAAUAAACAAUUGCCGCUUGUAAUUUUAGCUGUCUUGAGCUAUUUAAAUUAUUCUUGUUUUGUUGAAGUCUGGUACCGUUGCAAAUAAAUAUGGUUUCAAUGGGGAUAUUAAUGUAGGACUAAUUUUGAGUGCAUCUGCAUAGUCCUGAUAGUAAAAGACAAUGCCUGGUCUGUUACAUAUGAACUUAAAAAGCACAAGAAGUAUGAGGGAAUUGUAAUUUCAGUACUGUUGUAAUCAGAUUUCAAGAUGGCUACAGCUUGGGGAUGUGCCUGGUCGCCAGUUGGCUUGCCUUCUAAGCAAAUGUUCUGCUGUAUUUUGGUUGAAAUCUAAUUAAAGAGCAUACAUUUGCUUAAGAAGCACCACAAGGCCUCCUGAAAUCGAACUGUUUCAGCAGAGGCGCAGACUAAAAUAAGCUCUCGAUCUGUUGAUACUUACGACUGAAUGUAGCAGUUGCUAAUAUUUAAAAGGAAAUGAUUAAAAACUGUUUCAUUUAAGUAGAGUUUUUUUGUUUUGUGUAAUGUAUCCCAAAUGUACAGCCGAGAAGUUGUCGGUUGAUCCAUUUAAUGUGAAAAUGUAACCAUUAUAGAAGGGAUGAAACAUUCUCAACAACAAUAUUAAGCUAAUGUAGUGAAAGAAUUGACUUUGUUGUUGUUGUUUGAAUCAGAGAUGCUAAUUUGAACCUCAACAGCAUCUCUUCUAUUUUUGUCAUAGCGUAAUGUUAGUUUGCCUGCUGAUUUAUUGCUGCACGAUACACGAUUCCUCCUACUUGCUUUUUUUCUUUUCUAAAAAAUGUCUUUUGAGUUGCCAAAAGUUAAAAUCCUGGUGGCAAUUUUCCUUUGUAUUUUGAUAAUGCAGAAUGUUGAAACCCUAAAUGAAGACAAGAUGACUGCCAACACCUAUUCUGUACAAAGAGAUGUUUGUUUGAAUCUACAAAUCUUUAGAAAAAUGACCAAGUCCUAAUGUCCUAAUAAUUUCCUUCAUUACAUCACAGGAAUAAUAUGAUCACGUUAAUGUUUAUUUUUCAAAAAGCUAAGUGCUAAUGACUUCAGUUAUUUUCUGCCUUUUGCUCCCUGAUGUUUACAUUUUACUUUCGGUCCAUUUUGUACACUUGAACAUCUUGUAAUUACGUAUAAAUAUAAAGCCUGUAUAUUGAUGUUGGUUUGAUGCAAUUAUCUUUACCUCAAAUUAUUUUGGAAUAUAUUGGACCAAUAUUAAAAUAAAUUGAUUUGAUAUUUA
Molecule: RNA transcript, 3904 nt
Organism: Phyllopteryx taeniolatus (common seadragon)
Lineage: Eukaryota; Metazoa; Chordata; Actinopteri; Syngnathiformes; Syngnathidae
Gene: snx30
Gene name: sorting nexin family member 30
Exons: 9
Source: RefSeq, a predicted model, not a curated record